This 494-nucleotide ribosomal RNA is filed under the name uncultured bacterium. RNAcentral's name for it is "bacterial SSU rRNA". It matches the Rfam family "Bacterial small subunit ribosomal RNA", at positions 33 to 507 of the family's 1533-position model. The record is from RNAcentral.
GAAGACGCUGGCGGCACGCCUCAUACAUGCAAGUCGAGCGCGAAACCACCUUCGGGUGAUGUAGAGCGGCGAACGGGUGAGUAACAGGUGGGUAAUCUGCCCUUUGGCGGGGGACAACAGCUGGAAACGGCUGCUAAUACCGCAUGUGAUUGUGGACUUAUGGUCUGCAAGGAAAGGCGCCUCAAAGCGCCACCAAAGGAUGACGCCCCGCCCCCCAUUAGCUAGUUGGUGAGAUAACAGCUCACCAAGGCAUCGAUGGGUAGCCGAGCUGAGAGGUUGAUCGGCCACACUGGAACUGAGACACGGUCCAGACACCGUACGGGUGGCAGCAGUAGGGAAUAUUGCGCAAGUGGGACGAAAGCCUGACGCAGCGAUGCCGCGUGAGUGACGAAGGUCUUAGGAUUGUAAAGCUCUUUUCUGAGGGAAGAAUAGGUCUGGUAGGAAAUGACUGGAUUCUGACGGUACCUCAGGAAUAAGGAACGGCUAACUCCGUG